Molecule: ribosomal RNA, 197 nt
Filed under: uncultured bacterium
Lineage: Bacteria
Description: partial 16S ribosomal RNA
Rfam family: Bacterial small subunit ribosomal RNA
Source: RNAcentral
ACUCCUACGGGAGGCAGCAGUGGGGAAUUUUGGACAAUGGGGGAAACCCUGAUCCAGCCAUACCGCGUGAGUGAAGAAGGCCUUCGGGUUGUAAAGCUCUUUCAGCUGGAAAGAAACGGUCACGGCUAAUACCUGUGGCUAAUGACGGUACCAGCAGAAGAAGCACCGGCUAACUACGUGCCAGCAGCCGCGGUAAU